UGCCAGCCGCCGCGGUAAUACGGAGGGUGCAAGCGUUAAUCGGAAUUACUGGGCGUAAAGCGCGCGUAGGCGGUUUGUUAAGUCAGAUGUGAAAGCCCCGGGCUCAACCUGGGAACUGCAUUCGAUACUGGCAGACUAGAGUAUGUUAGAGGAAGGUGGAAUUCCAGGUGUAGCGGUGAAAUGCGUAGAUAUCUGGAGGAACAUCAGUGGCGAAGGCGACCUUCUGGGACAAUACUGACGCUCAUGUGCGAAAGUGUGGGUAGCGAACAGGAUUAGAUA
This 279-nucleotide ribosomal RNA is filed under the name uncultured bacterium. RNAcentral describes it as "partial 16S ribosomal RNA". It matches the Rfam family "Bacterial small subunit ribosomal RNA", at positions 506 to 784 of the family's 1533-position model. The record is from RNAcentral.